RNAcentral lists this ribosomal RNA (301 nucleotides) under uncultured bacterium. Its description in RNAcentral is "partial 16S ribosomal RNA". It matches the Rfam family "Bacterial small subunit ribosomal RNA", at positions 509 to 807 of the family's 1533-position model. The record is from RNAcentral.
CAGUCGCCGCGGGAAUACGUAGGUGGCAAGCGUUGUCCGGAAUUAUUGGGCGUAAAGGGCUCGCAGGCGGUUUCUUAAGUCUGAUGUGAAAGCCCCCGGCUCAACCGGGGAGGGUCAUUGGAAACUGGGAAACUUGAGUGCAGAAGAGGAGAGUGGAAUUCCACGUGUAGCGGUGAAGUGCGUAGAGAUGUGGAGGAACACCAGUGGCGAAGGCGACUCUCUGGUCUGUAACUGACGCUGAGGAGCGAAAGCGUGGGGAGCGAACAGGAUUAGAUACCCCCGUAGUCCCUGUCUCUUAUAC